Molecule: ribosomal RNA, 253 nt
Filed under: uncultured bacterium
Lineage: Bacteria
Description: partial 16S ribosomal RNA
Rfam family: Bacterial small subunit ribosomal RNA
Source: RNAcentral
UACGGAGGAGGCAAGCGUUAUCCGGAAUUAUUGGGCGUAAAGCGUCCGCAGGUGGCACUUCAAGUCUGUCGUCAAAGACUGGGGCUUAACCCUGGAAAGGCGGUGGAAACUGAAGCGCUAGAGUGUGGUAGGGGUAGAGGGAAUUCCCGGUGUAGCGGUGAAAUGCGUAGAUAUCGUUUGGAACGCCAAUGGUGAAAACAGGUCGCUGGGGAUGAGCUGACGCUGAGACACGAAAGCCAGGGGAGCAAACGGG